Molecule: unclassified non-coding RNA, 28 nt
Filed under: Mus musculus (house mouse)
Lineage: Eukaryota; Metazoa; Chordata; Mammalia; Rodentia; Muridae
Description: oocyte_clustered_small_RNA13125
Source: RNAcentral
ACUGGGACCUCUUUCCCCUCGAGGACAA